This 72-nucleotide transfer RNA is filed under the name Treponemataceae bacterium. Its description in RNAcentral is "tRNA-His". It matches the Rfam family "tRNA". From Rfam's summary of the family: Transfer RNA (tRNA) molecules are approximately 80 nucleotides in length. Their secondary structure includes four short double-helical elements and three loops (D, anti-codon, and T loops). The record is from RNAcentral. Lineage: Bacteria; Pseudomonadati; Spirochaetota; Spirochaetia; Treponematales; Treponemataceae.
GUGCCUGUAGUUCAGUGGUAGAGCGCCAGAUUGUGGAUCUGGUUGUCGUGGGUUCCAUCCCCCCCAGGCACC